CCUACGGGUGGCAGCAGUGAGGAAUAUUGGUCAAUGGCCGUAAGGCUGAACCAGCCAAGCCGCGUGAAGGAAGAAGGAUCUAUGGUUUGUAAACUUCUUUUAUAGGGGAAUAAAGGUAUCCACGUGUGGAUAUUUGCAUGUACCUUAUGAAUAAGCAUCGGCUAACUCCGUGCCAGCAGCCGCGGUAAUACGGAGGAUGCGAGCGUUAUCCGGAUUUAUUGGGUGUAAAGGGUGCGUAGGUUGUUUUUUAAGUCAGCGGUGAAAGUGUGUGGCUCAACCAUAAAAUUGCCGUUGAAACUGGCAGACUUGAGGGUGGGUGAGGUAGGCGGAAUGCGUGGUGUAGCGGUGAAAUGCAUAGAUAUCACGCAGAACUCCGAUUGCGAAGGCAGCUUACUGGGCCAUAACUGACGCUGAGGCACGAAAGCGUGGGGAUCGAACAGGAUUAGAUACCCGAGUAGUC
Molecule: ribosomal RNA, 460 nt
Filed under: uncultured bacterium
Lineage: Bacteria
Description: partial 16S ribosomal RNA
Rfam family: Bacterial small subunit ribosomal RNA
Source: RNAcentral